AUUUCAAAAUAGCUUAGACAGGGAACAGAACGGAGUCUGGUGUCCAGCCAACCAGUCCAGGUAACACCAGUGCUUUAUGACCAACUAAGAAAGACUCUUGCCUUCCUUGGCUGAUUCUUAGCCCCUUCCAAGGGACUGUGGAAGGCCAAAUGUAAAAGACAUGGUCUUGUCUUGAUUGGCAAGUGUUCUGUGUCUCUCACAGAACAAAAGUGAGUGCACAUUUCCAACCAGGAAGCUCCACGAAGUCUUUGUAACUCAGUAAUAUUUCUCUGUGUGACUUGAUCUUUAGUUAUUUAAGUCAAGGGUGUAAAUUUCGACUGUCUUUUACAAAAGACACCAGAAAUAUCACCAUAGAAUCAGCAGUGAAAAAAGCUAAGUGGUAAAAUUAAUUCCCAAUAUCUGGACAAUGGAAAUUCUCAAAACAAUCACUAAACCAUCUCCAAGCUUAUUAUGCAUCCUCCUUCAGGGGCAGACAUGGUGAGAGGCUCCUGUUCUGCUGCGGGCGUCCUGCUGGACCUGACAUUAGCAAACAGGGAGAACUCUUCCUUGUUUGAUUGCUGCCCCUAAAGCUCCCAGGGCUGCUUGAAUUUGGUCUCUUACUUAUGGGGUAUGAAUGUGAAUAGAAAAUCAUAGUCUGAGAACCAGUGCCCUGAAGAAGUGCUUGUACCCCACAAGAAAGAGUCCAGCCAAUGGAAGGCAAUACCACAGAAAGCACUCCGCAUCCUCUCCCUCACUCCACUUCCCCUCGUCUUGGCCCACUCUUCUCAACCACAAAGCCAGAAGAUAAACUAGGUGGUGGUUUGGGAUAGUUGUACACAGGAUCAAAAUCUCUAGUAACCUAUCAUUUUUAGUACUUAAUUUUGUGAUGUUUUAUUCUAGGAAAUUACAGACAGAUGACACCAUUGAUGUAUCUUUCUUUCAUCUUCAGAAUUUUUGCAUCUUUUCAAAAAAAAUGACAAAUUACUAUUUUUCUGUUGCAUUCAGCAAUUGUGACUAUACCUAAAAUUCUUGUAGUCUGUAGAGAUAAUCAAUAAAAUUGUAUAUGUUUGUACAUAGAUGCUCUCUUAUGUCAUGAUGUCACAUACUGUUGAUAUUUGGCCAAGAUUAAAUAUAUAGAGGUCAAACACACAUUUGCAAACUGUUAACUAUAGUUUUACCAAGAAUGGAUUUUUUUAACGUAGAAGGGAUGGGGGGCAUACUGAUUUGAG
Molecule: long non-coding RNA, 1208 nt
Filed under: Rattus norvegicus (Norway rat)
Lineage: Eukaryota; Metazoa; Chordata; Mammalia; Rodentia; Muridae
Description: long non-coding RNA NONRATT006611
Source: RNAcentral